GUUAAGCGACUAAGCGUACACGGUGGAUGCCCUGGCAGUCAGAGGCGAUGAAGGACGUGCUAAUCUGCGAUAAGCGUCGGUAAGGUGAUAUGAACCGUUAUAACCGGCGAUUUCCGAAUGGGGAAACCCAGUGUGUUUCGACACACUAUCAUUAACUGAAUCCAUAGGUUAAUGAGGCGAACCGGGGGAACUGAAACAUCUAAGUACCCCGAGGAAAAGAAAUCAACCGAGAUUCCCCCAGUAGCGGCGAGCGAACGGGGAGCAGCCCAGAGCCUGAAUCAGUGUGUGUGUUAGUGGAAGCGUCUGGAAAGGCGCGCGAUACAGGGUGACAGCCCCGUACACAAAAAUGCACAUGCUGUGAGCUCGAUGAGUAGGGCGGGACACGUGGUAUCCUGUCUGAAUAUGGGGGGACCAUCCUCCAAGGCUAAAUACUCCUGACUGACCGAUAGUGAACCAGUACCGUGAGGGAAAGGCGAAAAGAACCCCGGCGAGGGGAGUGAAAAAGAACCUGAAACCGUGUACGUACAAGCAGUGGGAGCCUCUUUUAUGGGGUGACUGCGUACCUUUUGUAUAAUGGGUCAGCGACUUAUAUUCUGUAGCAAGGUUAACCGAAUAGGGGAGCCGAAGGGAAACCGAGUCUUAACUGGGCGUUAAGUUGCAGGGUAUAGACCCGAAACCCGGUGAUCUAGCCAUGGGCAGGUUGAAGGUUGGGUAACACUAACUGGAGGACCGAACCGACUAAUGUUGAAAAAUUAGCGGAUGACUUGUGGCUGGGGGUGAAAGGCCAAUCAAACCGGGAGAUAGCUGGUUCUCCCCGAAAGCUAUUUAGGUAGCGCCUCGUGAAUUCAUCUCCGGGGGUAGAGCACUGUUUCGGCAAGGGGGUCAUCCCGACUUACCAACCCGAUGCAAACUGCGAAUACCGGAGAAUGUUAUCACGGGAGACACACGGCGGGUGCUAACGUCCGUCGUGAAGAGGGAAACAACCCAGACCGCCAGCUAAGGUCCCAAAGUCAUGGUUAAGUGGGAAACGAUGUGGGAAGGCCCAGACAGCCAGGAUGUUGGCUUAGAAGCAGCCAUCAUUUAAAGAAAGCGUAAUAGCUCACUGGUCGAGUCGGCCUGCGCGGAAGAUGUAACGGGGCUAAACCAUGCACCGAAGCUGCGGCAGCGACGCUUAUGCGUUGUUGGGUAGGGGAGCGUUCUGUAAGCCUGUGAAGGUGUGCUGUGAGGCAUGCUGGAGGUAUCAGAAGUGCGAAUGCUGACAUAAGUAACGAUAAAGCGGGUGAAAAGCCCGCUCGCCGGAAGACCAAGGGUUCCUGUCCAACGUUAAUCGGGGCAGGGUGAGUCGACCCCUAAGGCGAGGCCGAAAGGCGUAGUCGAUGGGAAACAGGUUAAUAUUCCUGUACUUGGUGUUACUGCGAAGGGGGGACGGAGAAGGCUAUGUUGGCCGGGCGACGGUUGUCCCGGUUUAAGCGUGUAGGCUGGUUUUCCAGGCAAAUCCGGAAAAUCAAGGCUGAGGCGUGAUGACGAGGCACUACGGUGCUGAAGCAACAAAUGCCCUGCUUCCAGGAAAAGCCUCUAAGCAUCAGGUAACAUCAAAUCGUACCCCAAACCGACACAGGUGGUCAGGUAGAGAAUACCAAGGCGCUUGAGAGAACUCGGGUGAAGGAACUAGGCAAAAUGGUGCCGUAACUUCGGGAGAAGGCACGCUGAUAUGUAGG
Molecule: ribosomal RNA, 1718 nt
Filed under: Escherichia coli
Lineage: Bacteria; Pseudomonadati; Pseudomonadota; Gammaproteobacteria; Enterobacterales; Enterobacteriaceae
Description: bacterial LSU rRNA
Rfam family: Bacterial large subunit ribosomal RNA
Source: RNAcentral